This 74-nucleotide transfer RNA is filed under the name Loxodonta africana (African savanna elephant). It matches the Rfam family "tRNA". From Rfam's summary of the family: Transfer RNA (tRNA) molecules are approximately 80 nucleotides in length. Their secondary structure includes four short double-helical elements and three loops (D, anti-codon, and T loops). Further hydrogen bonds mediate the characteristic L-shaped molecular structure. tRNAs have two regions of fundamental functional importance: the anti-codon, which is responsible for specific mRNA codon recognition, and the 3' end, to which the tRNAs corresponding amino acid is attached (by aminoacyl-tRNA synthetases). tRNAs cope with the degeneracy of the genetic code in two manners: having more than one tRNA (with a specific anti-codon) for a particular amino acid; and 'wobble' base-pairing, i.e. permitting non-standard base-pairing at the 3rd anti-codon position. The record is from Rfam by way of RNAcentral. Lineage: Eukaryota; Metazoa; Chordata; Mammalia; Proboscidea; Elephantidae.
CCCUGUGUGAUACAAAAGGUUAAUAUGCUUGGCUGCUAACCAAAAGGCUGGGGGUUCAAGUCUACCCAGAGGUA